RNAcentral lists this ribosomal RNA (524 nucleotides) under uncultured Glomus. RNAcentral's name for it is "SSU rRNA". It matches the Rfam family "Eukaryotic small subunit ribosomal RNA", at positions 569 to 1093 of the family's 1831-position model. Lineage: Eukaryota; Fungi; Glomeromycota; Glomeromycetes; Glomerales; Glomeraceae. The record is from RNAcentral.
AGCAGCCGCGGUAAUUCCAGCUCCAAUAGCGUAUAUUAAAGUUGUUGCAGUUAAAAAGCUCGUAGUUGAAUUUCGAGACCGGUUUAUUGGUCGUGCUUUUGUACGUACUGGUAUUAUUGGUUUCUCCUUUCUGACGAAUCUUAAUGCCAUUAAUUUGGUGUUUUGGGGAAUUAGGACUGUUACUUUGAAAAAAUUAGAGUGUUUAAAGCAGGCUCACGCUUGAAUACAUUAGCAUGGAAUAACGGAAUAGGACGUUUGAUUCUAUUUUGUUGGUUUCUAGGAUCGACGUAAUGAUUAAUAGGGAUAGUUGGGGGCAUUAGUAUUCAAUUGUCAGAGGUGAAAUUCUUGGAUUUAUUGAAGACUAAACUACUGCGAAAAGCAUUUGCCAAGGAUGUUUUCAUUAAUCAAGAACGAAAGUUAGGGGAUCGAAGACGAUCAGAUACCGUCGUAGUCUUAACCAUAAACUAUGCCGACUAGGGAUCGGAUGAUGUUAAUUUUUUAAUGACUCAUUCGGCGCCUUACGG